Molecule: ribosomal RNA, 270 nt
Filed under: Stenotrophomonas maltophilia
Lineage: Bacteria; Pseudomonadati; Pseudomonadota; Gammaproteobacteria; Lysobacterales; Lysobacteraceae
Description: partial 23S ribosomal RNA
Rfam family: Bacterial large subunit ribosomal RNA
Source: RNAcentral
GAUUUGAGAGGGGCUGCUCCUAGUACGAGAGGACCGGAGUGGACGAACCUCUGGUGUUCCGGUUGUCACGCCAGUGGCAUUGCCGGGUAGCUAUGUUCGGAAGCGAUAACCGCUGAAAGCAUCUAAGCGGGAAGCGCGCCUCAAGAUGAGAUCUCCCGGGGCACAAGCCCCCUGAAGGAACCAUGUAGACUACGUGGUUGAUAGGUCAGGUGUGUAAGUACAGCAAUGUAUUGAGCUAACUGAUACUAAUGAUCCGUGCGGCUUGACCAU